GGGGCUGACUUGGAUUUCGACAGAUUUCUUGUCGCACAGAUAGCAUGCCAAGUGCUACUUGUAAAACAGCAACAAAAAUAACUGUAAACAACACAGAUUACGCUCCAGCUUACGCUAAAGCUGCGUGAGUUAAUCUCCUUUGGAGCUGGACUGAUUAGAAUUUCUAGCGUUUUAAUCACUCCAUAACCUUAAGCUAGACGCUUUUAAAAGGUGGUUCGCCUUUUAAACUAAGAAACAAGAACUCUUGAAACUACCUCAAGGUUUUAGAAAGUUGGACCAGAGCUAGUUUUAAGGCUAAAAAGCUAACCAAUUUUCUAAGCAUUGUAGAAGUUUGUGUUUAGGACAAGAUUUUUGGACUGGGGUUCGAUUCCCCACAGCUCCACCA
Molecule: transfer-messenger RNA, 385 nt
Filed under: Helicobacter pylori
Lineage: Bacteria; Pseudomonadati; Campylobacterota; Epsilonproteobacteria; Campylobacterales; Helicobacteraceae
Rfam family: transfer-messenger RNA
About the family: Bacterial tmRNA, also known as 10Sa RNA or SsrA, is named for its dual tRNA and mRNA-like properties. Its role is to liberate the mRNA from a stalled ribosome.
Source: RNAcentral